UCAGCUCCCUCUAUAAAUCCAGUUGUUGGGUCUUGUGAGUGUGACACAUUCCCACCGACUUUGUUUUCUUCCUUAUUCUAUUCCAUGCAUGCUCUCUUCUCCGUUCUGGUAGUGGGUUUUGCAUGCUGCUUUCACAUUUGAUGUUCUUUUUCCUUGUUGUUCUUUUGUUUGGCUUCUCCUGCCAAACUACAUCUGAUCUGAUGUUGUUGUGGGUUUGAUGGUUGCACCGUUCUCCUUUUCUUUUGGUUUUUUGGGUUUGAAGUCCCAUUAUCACCUUUUUUGCUUUUUUGUUCUUUCCUCCUUUCUCUUCUUGAUCUUUUGUGGGCUACAAGCUUCAUCAGAGUGGUUGUUCUUGUAGUUUCCUCUGGAUGGCAUUUAAUGCUCCAGUUCCUGAAGGUGCCUGAAUCUGCAAAGGAAAGCCACUUCACCUGCUGUUUCAUUGAUACCAUCAGAAGAAUGUUUUCUCUCUCAUAGAGAAAACAUGGGGUUUUGUUUUUGGUUAGUGUAUGGAACUCUAUAUCGAUCGAUUUACUUUGUUUCUUCGGGAGACUUCUCUGAGAUUCUUCUGCAGUGACAUGCUUGAGUAAUCAAGAUGUUAUCAUGUCUGUGAAUCAACUUGUGUGAUGAAGAUUCUUCUGCAGAGGCUUACUUGUGUGAUCAGAUGAUACUAUUAGCACAUUCUACCAUGCAAGCCAGCUUUAAGGAAGAACAGAAUUCUUGACACAUGAGAGAACAUUACAACUUGCUUCUUGGUAAUCUGCACCAUUUCCAAACCAAAGAGUCUUUCAAGAACCAUCUGGUCUUAUCAGAAAACAAGAAAGAGCAGGAAAUCUUUUAUUUGUCUGAAAAUAAUUAGCACAUACAGUUUCCUCAGUGUACUGCUCUUUCUAGUGUUUGCUUGUAAUGACCAUCACAUAAUGGUUUUUCCCAACAAGUGUACAUUGUGGUGGCAUAUGCAAGUGUCAGUGUAUUUUACAGAUCAAAUUCUAUAUACCA
Molecule: non-coding RNA, 996 nt
Organism: Musa acuminata subsp. malaccensis (wild Malaysian banana)
Lineage: Eukaryota; Viridiplantae; Streptophyta; Magnoliopsida; Zingiberales; Musaceae
Source: RefSeq, a predicted model, not a curated record